This 761-nucleotide ribosomal RNA is filed under the name uncultured Treponema sp. Its description in RNAcentral is "bacterial SSU rRNA". It matches the Rfam family "Bacterial small subunit ribosomal RNA", at positions 28 to 776 of the family's 1533-position model. The record is from RNAcentral. Lineage: Bacteria; Pseudomonadati; Spirochaetota; Spirochaetia; Treponematales; Treponemataceae.
AACGAACGCUGACGGCGCGUCUUAAGCAUGCAAGUCGAACGGUAAGGGAGAGCUUGCUCUCCCCUAGAGUGGCGGACUGGUGAGUAACGCGUGGGUGACCUGCCCUGAAGAUGGGGAUAGCUAGUAGAAAUAUUAGAUAAUACCGAAUAAGCUCAUUUACAUAAAGGUAGAUGAGGAAAGGAGCUACGGCUCCGCUUUAGGAUGGGCCCGCGUCCCAUUAGCUAGUUGGUGAGGUAAAGGCUCACCAAGGCAACGAUGGGUAUCCGGCCUGAGAGGGUGAACGGACACAUUGGGACUGAGAUACGGCCCAAACUCCUACGGGAGGCAGCAGCUAAGAAUCUUCCGCAAUGGACGAAAGUCUGACGGAGCGACGCCGUGUGAAUGAAGAAGGCCGAAAGGUUGUAAAAUUCUUUUGCAGAUGAAGAAUAAGAAGAAGAGGGAAUGCUUCUUUGAUGACGGUAAUCAUGCGAAUAAGCCCCGGCUAAUUACGUGCCAGCAGCCGCGGUAACACGUAAGGGGCGAGCGUUGUUCGGAAUUAUUGGGCGUAAAGGGUAUGUAGGCGGUUAGGUAAGCCUGGUGUGAAAUCUACGAGCUCAACUCGUAAACUGCAUUGGGUACUGCUUGACUUGAAUCACGGAGGGGAAACCGGAAUUCCAAGUGUAGGGGUGGAAUCUGUAGAUAUUUGGAAGAACACCGGUGGCGAAGGCGGGUUUCUGGCCGAUGAUUGACGCUGAUAUACGAAGGUGCGGGGAGCAAACAGG